Quercus robur (English oak) is the source of this 4239-nucleotide long non-coding RNA. RefSeq lists it as uncharacterized. Lineage: Eukaryota; Viridiplantae; Streptophyta; Magnoliopsida; Fagales; Fagaceae. The transcript is spliced from 5 exons. The record is from RefSeq and is a predicted model, not a curated record.
UCAUUUCUUUUCUUUCUUUUUCUUCUUUUUCAUUUUCGGUAGAACACUCCUCUUCACUCCUUCAAACUCUCCCGCCGGUACCUCCAUAUCACUAUUUUUCCACCUUCAUUUUCCGGCAAGACCACCGGAAAAAUCCUUAGGAACCCCUAAGCAUCAUCAUCCUUUUUUUUGAGGUUCUAGCUAAUCUCCUUGGAGCUUGGAGAAUUAGGCUCUUGCAGUUGCGAGAUAAGUAACUUUUUAAUGAGAUUUUUGAAAAAUAAACAUGUUGCAUAAAUGAUGUUUUUGGGUUAGAUACACUUUUGAAAACUACCUAUGGAAAUUAUAUUUUCCUAAAACUAUUGUGUCAUAACCUUAAUAUAUGUAUGAUUAUAUAUGAAAAUGCAUCAUAUUUGGUAUUAUAUUUGGGGAAAUGCAUGAAUUGUUGAUAUGAAAAAAUGAGCAUCUUUUAUUUAAUCUUUGAUAAGGAAAUCAUGGAUUUUAUGGUAUAUUAUAAAAUUUGAGGAUGCUUAUCUUGUCUUGUUAUGUGGAAAAUUGAUAGAAAAAUCUCUUGACAAGAAUGAAGUUGAAACCUUACAAACUUUGUGGAAGUUGGAUUAUUUAAGGUUUUUCUGAAAUUACCUAGACAUAAAUUACGUGUUUCAAAGUAUAUGUAACCUAUGAGCUUUAUGUGGUUUUAACACCAUGCCAUGUGUGAUUUCUCGGUGAUCACCCGAUUUGGUUUUUAUAGUCUUUGUGACAACGGAAUCAAAUCCAGGUCAGUGUCCUUUCACUUUGGAUGACACGUUCUUCCCUGCUGCCUAUGGGGGGGAAGAGAUUCCUUGAUUGUGUGUGGGUGAGGCUGUUGCCCAUGGGGCCAAGAGACUACAUGCAAGAGAGGUCCUAUUUGACGCGCUCUCUCUACUGCCCAGGGGGGGAGAGAAAAACCUUGAGGGUAUGGGUGAGGCUGCUAUCCAUGGGGCCAAGAGUCUGCAUACCAAAGAGGACAAUAUCAUGCCAAUUGUGAAUAGGUGGAUUCCCUAACCGGUCUAUGUGAUAUAUUUGUGAUAAUUUAUCUUAUGUUAGAUAUUAUGACUUUGGAAAUUAUAUUGUUGAUGCUCACAGAUUAUAGUAUAUAGUUUCAAGGUAUUUAUUUAGAGAAACUUUGUGUUUCAUUAUUUAAUCAUUCUUGUCAUAUUAUUAUUUUUGAAGAUGAAACUUGCAUUUCCCCCACUCCCAUUAAAUAUGCUAUUUAAUGGGCUCUGUCUCAUCCCAUUAUUUUAUAAACUUUUCAGAGUAGGCAACAAUCUUUUGAGACAGCUUUUUGGUGACUAACAAUAGUUAGACUAACUACUGAUGGAGACUGAACUUUGUAAUGGAGAUAUUAGAUGUUGUACAUCUUAGAAUAAGCUUGACUCAUUCUUUUGUAUAUUAUAGUGGUUGUGACGUUUUUCUCACUAAUGGGACAAGCUGAUGAUAUGUAAUUAUUUAUUCAGACCUCUAUUCUUUUGUGACCAAUGGUCCUUGUAAUUAUUGCUUAGAACUCUGACUUACUCUAAGAGUAUAUUCAAUGAAAUUAUUAUGAUAAUUCUUGAUGUUGGUAUUGGAUAUGAUUUAUGUGAAUUGGAUUGUCAAAAAGGAAAAAAUAAAUAAAAAAAUAAAAAUCUAUAGAUACUUUGAGAUGUCUUUCUCAUGCUUUGGAUCCUUUGGGGUUUGGGGCGUGACAUUCCUUAUGUAGUUGUGUUGCUGUCAUUUGGAGACUUUUUUGGCUUGUUCACUUGCAGUAUUUGAUGAAGUUCUCAAUGGUGAAAAUGACUCUCGGGAGGAUAUCGAUGGCAUGGAUGAAGAAGGGAAAGGGAUUGUCUUAAUGCGGUAUUCUUGGGAAAGAACUGAUCGAGAUUAUGAAUAUGAAGAGAUUACCAGUGGCGGAGAAGCCUCUAAUCACUCAUUCCUUGUAUCUAGGACACUACAGAUAUCAGGGCCUUAGUCAUUUCCGUCACUUGAAAAUGUUUUGACAGUUGGAGCAGAAAACUGCCUUGAUGCAAAAACAACCUUCUAAGAUGCCUUUAGGAAAUUGGGUGGGUGUCUUCUAGUAUAUGCAGGUGAAGGUCUUGUGGUAUAAGUUACAAAGCAUAACUUCUCUUUUUAUAAUCUUUUGGGCAUUUGGUUUUAUAAGUGCUUGAAAAUCUAGCAUAAUGAGCUGUUAGUAUGACUUCUAUAUGUAGCAAAUUCUUUUGGACUUGUUUAUAUUGAGCUAUAUGUUCUAACACAACUCUCAUUUUCAUUGCUUUUAGCGUAUUGACAUGUGACAAAAGAUGAUUAAUGGAACUGCCAUUGGGUCUUUGCAUAUUUUCACACUUCUGUCUUGUUUCCGUGGCUGAGUACCCUCUCUUGUCUCACGUGCAUAUUAUCAAUUAAAUAAGAAACCAAUACCUUUUAUGAUUUUGGUGGAUUAUAUGUUCCUUUUGUCAUUUUGGGAGUCUUGUUGGCUGUGUUCCCUUUAUAUCUUCUCAAGUAAGCUUUUAUGGAUCUUUUUCUUCUUCUUUUUCGGGUGGGGGGUUGGAUAUUCUUAAUCUUAUUGUGAUGGAUUACAAUGUCCAUGCUUCUUAUGACUCUGCUGCUUCUUAGUAGAAUGUUCAAUAUCCUUUACGAGAAUAAUCCUGAGCUUGCAGGAGAUAGACGUAGGACAGUUACGAGGCCUCCACAAGUUCUACGAGAAUGCACAAAGAAGACUGUUUGUAAAUUUUAUUGAUCACUGCAAAACGAUGCAUAGGCAAAAAGAGCAUGUCAUGACGUUCUUACUGGCUAAAAUGGGGACAAGUGGAUCUUUGGACGGACAUAGCGGAUGGUCGUUAAGGGUGGAUUUGCUCCUAAAAACUUUGAAGGGAUCCUGCAAAGAUUUUUUUUUUUUUGAGAAUCAAUACGAGACAAUUAUAUUAAGCUGAAACAAAAUCAGAAACAACAAACUCAAAAACAUCCGGAGGAACAUGCUCCAUCCAGACUAACAAAGGUAAUGACCCUCUUGCUCUCUUAGCUAAGGCAUGAGCUACACUGUUGCCCUGCCGCCUUGUAUGAGAAAAAGAGAAAGUUCUAAGCGAACUCACAAUAGACAAAAAGUCUUUAACAAACUGACCAACAAAAAGUCUUUAACAAACUGACCAAUAGAUGGGUGGCUACCAUCAGCAGCCUUCAAUGCAUUGCACACCAUCUCCGAGUCACCUUCAAACACAGAUUGAAAUAUACCCGCCUCAACUGCAAAUAAAGCAGCCCUUCUUGCAGCCAAGGCCUCCAAGACCUCCACAGAAUCCGGGGUAGGGAAUUUUUUCAGACAGCGCUGCUACCAUCUCGCCAUUUGAAUUCCGAAUCACAACUCCAAUUCCCGCCUCUCCAGACUCAGCAAAGACAGCCCCAUCAAAGUUUGUCUUGUACAUCUCCUCCAUCGGAGGUCUUCAUAUGGUUCUUCCAGGUAUGGUUUUCGGCUUGAUCAUCGGAAAUUUCCUCUGAUACUCAGUGAGAUAGUUGCUGGCUGCUUCGAAUACCUUCACAGUAGGCAAACACUCUUCCUUUAAUCUAAUCUUGUUCCUACGGUGCCAUAUAAACCAAGCCACAGUAGCAAAUACUUCCAAACUUCUUGGUUGUUGCCCCACAAGCUGAAUUAGCUCACAGAAAUCAUGAAUUCUUGGGAAGUCAGAACUGAUCCAGCUAAAUACAGGUGCCCAAAUAUGCCGCAGUGUGUCACAUCCCCAAAUGGCAUGAAAGGUCGACUCCUACUCCACUUGGCAAAGGUUGCACUCUGCACUAUCUAUAAUUUUCCUUUUCUUCAAAUUCUCCUUGGUAGGUAGUGCUUCAGAACAAGCCCUCCAGAGAAAAGUUUUGAUUUUAUUAGGUACCCGCAGUUUCCAAAUACGAUUCCAGAAGAUCUUUUGAUUCGAAUUGUCUGAACUUGCUGCAUCCAAACAUCUUUCAUCCUCACACAGCAAUAUGUAUCCGGUUUUAACUGAGUACUCACCACUUCGACAGUGUGGCCAGAUUAUACUAUCUGCCUGACUUGACCAACAGAGAGGGAUAAGUUAAGUACAUAAGUUUUAGUUUUGUGAUACACGACACGUCAUAAGAAGUCAUGAGACUAAAGUUAUCUAUUUUCAUUAAUUAGCUUCUCCCAUGUAUAUUCUUUUUAUACAUCAUCAUCAAACGCUAAAACUCUUAUCAUCAUCAGCAAACGCUAGAACUCUAGCUUUAUUCAAUUAAUUCUCUUUAUUGCAA